AAGGUUUUAAGUUAAAUUAAACUAAUAGCCUUCAAAGUUAUAAAUAUAAGUAAAUAUUCUUUUAAGCCUUA
Molecule: transfer RNA, 71 nt
Filed under: Hybos culiciformis
Lineage: Eukaryota; Metazoa; Arthropoda; Insecta; Diptera; Hybotidae
Description: tRNA-Trp
Rfam family: tRNA
About the family: Transfer RNA (tRNA) molecules are approximately 80 nucleotides in length. Their secondary structure includes four short double-helical elements and three loops (D, anti-codon, and T loops).
Source: RNAcentral